Molecule: long non-coding RNA, 340 nt
Filed under: Carica papaya (papaya)
Lineage: Eukaryota; Viridiplantae; Streptophyta; Magnoliopsida; Brassicales; Caricaceae
Description: long non-coding RNA (CPAP_LNC004574)
Source: RNAcentral
UCGGAUGGAGAUGAGUAUUUAAACUUUUCUUCGCAGGGAACUAAAACCCUAGCCGACAGAGGGGUAAUUGGAUAAAAAGAAGAAGGGCAGCCAGGGAAAGAAUUAAAUGCAAGAGAAGGAGGUCGACCACCGUCGUCGCUGCACCGAAGCCACCGCCGACACCAAAACAAGUAUUUAUUCCCCUUUCUGUUCGGAAUUCAAUCUCGAGUCACCCUAUGCCCAUAUCAGAGUCAAAUGGUCGACGGGUGAGUCAAAAAUCGCAGACAAAACUCGACCAAACCGCCGCAGCCAAAACCCAAAACCCUCUCCGAUGACCCCCUUCCUGUUUUUCGUUUCGUGU